Molecule: non-coding RNA, 456 nt
Organism: Pelodiscus sinensis (Chinese soft-shelled turtle)
Lineage: Eukaryota; Metazoa; Chordata; Testudines; Trionychidae
Source: the annotation of a RefSeq genome assembly
AUGCUCUGGGCUCCCCUCAUUGUCCUGCUGGGGACGUGCUGCACAGGUUCCAGCUCCCAGAAUGUGGUGACUCAGCCGCCCUCAGCAUCAGUGUCCCCAGGAAAUACCGUGAAACUCUCCUGCACCAUGAGCAGUGGGACCAGCAUCAGUGGCUACAACGUGUACUGGUACCAACAGAAACCAGGGAAUUCCCCUCGAUACCUGCUGAGAUACAAGUCAGAUUCUGACAAACACCAGGGCUCCGGGGUCCCUGCCCGGUUUUCUGGUUCCAAGGACACAUCCAGCAACACCGGCUAUUUGACCAUUUCUGGGGCCCUGGCGGAGGAUGAGGCUGACUAUUACUGUGCUGUGUGGCACAACGAUGCUUGUCACAGUGACACAGUCAGAUGGGGAAGUUCGUUUGCCCAGUACGUGCUGACCCAGCCACCGUCAGUGUCUGUGUCUCCAGGACAAUAA